This 512-nucleotide ribosomal RNA is filed under the name uncultured Desulfobulbus sp. Its description in RNAcentral is "bacterial SSU rRNA". It matches the Rfam family "Bacterial small subunit ribosomal RNA", at positions 905 to 1382 of the family's 1533-position model. Lineage: Bacteria; Pseudomonadati; Thermodesulfobacteriota; Desulfobulbia; Desulfobulbales; Desulfobulbaceae. The record is from RNAcentral.
CGCCUUGCCAGCCCGCUCAGAAACUUACAGGAAUUGACGGGGGCCCGGCACAAGCGGUGGAGUAUGUGGUUUAAUUCGAUGCAACGCGAAGAACCUUACCUGGUCUUGACAUCCCGGAGACCCUUAGGAAACUAGGGGGUGCUUCCAUCUGGAAGAAUCUGGAGACAGGUGCUGCAUGGCUGUCGUCAGCUCGUGUCGUGAGAUGUUGGGUUAAGUCCCGCAACGAGCGCAACCCUUGCCUUUAGUUGCCAGCAGUUCGGCUGGGCACUCUAAAGGGACUGCCGGUGUUAAACCGGAGGAAGGUGGGGAUGACGUCAAGUCCUCAUGGCCUUUAUGACCAGGGCUACACACGUACUACAAUGGCCGAUACAAAGGGCAGCGACACUGCGAGGUGAAGCCAAUCCCGUAAAAUCGGUCUCAGUCCGGAUUGGAGUCUGCAACUCGACUCCAUGAAGUUGGAAUCGCUAGUAAUCGUGGAUCGGCAUGCCACGGUGAAUACGUUCCCGGGCCUU